UCUGAACAGUAGCCAGGGUCAGGAAGU
Molecule: non-coding RNA, 27 nt
Filed under: Rattus norvegicus (Norway rat)
Lineage: Eukaryota; Metazoa; Chordata; Mammalia; Rodentia; Muridae
Source: RNAcentral